Molecule: transfer RNA, 118 nt
Filed under: Crassvirales sp.
Lineage: Duplodnaviria; Heunggongvirae; Uroviricota; Caudoviricetes; Crassvirales
Description: tRNA-OTHER
Rfam family: tRNA
About the family: Transfer RNA (tRNA) molecules are approximately 80 nucleotides in length. Their secondary structure includes four short double-helical elements and three loops (D, anti-codon, and T loops).
Source: RNAcentral
GGGGCAGUCGUCUAAUGGAUAGGACAUCUUACAUACUAAGUAGCUUGUGCUACUUACAAAAUUAAAAAUGUAUCUGAGUUUCGUUCAGGGAAUCUGGGUUCGAAUCCCAGCUGCCUCA